AAUACAGGAAAUACAAUAAAAUUUGAACUCACUUUCAAGAGUAAGAACCUAAAGGUUGAACCUGAAAUGCAAAUUCUGGUUCUCCUCUGGCAGUCAACACCUUUCACUUUAUUAUCAAGGCACCUUUUGCCAGUCACAAUGAUGGUGCAUUUUCACUCUACCAGCCUGUACUUUUGUGCUAACCCGGAGUUAUUACUCAAGACCGUAGCUUUGUGCCUCUCACACCACAACUUUGUUCCACUCUAAAACGGUAGCUUUGUGCCAUCAGUGAUAAUGGGAGAAAUAUUUCCAAUCCAUGUGUAUAGAUACAGGGAAGGAGAAUGGGGAUUGGCGAAUUUGCGUUUUUGUUUUGCUCGUCUUAGGGUUUUUCUUGUG
RNAcentral lists this unclassified non-coding RNA (375 nucleotides) under Hevea brasiliensis (rubber tree). The record is from RNAcentral. Lineage: Eukaryota; Viridiplantae; Streptophyta; Magnoliopsida; Malpighiales; Euphorbiaceae.